This is a long non-coding RNA of Prosopis cineraria, 1351 nucleotides long. RefSeq lists it as uncharacterized. The transcript is spliced from 3 exons. Lineage: Eukaryota; Viridiplantae; Streptophyta; Magnoliopsida; Fabales; Fabaceae. The record is from RefSeq and is a predicted model, not a curated record.
UCAUCCUCUUCGAUUCGAUUCUAGAGAAUAUAGAGGGGAGCUUCGUUCAAGCAAUCGCUCCUCCUCUAUUCCAGUUCCUCAGGCGUGUGUUGGGCAUCUACAACAGUUUGCCAUGCAGGAAGCUUCAGUCAUGAGUUUUCGUUCUUCUCCCAUGGUGAAUGCCGGUGUCGACUGCCUUCUCUAUCCAUAUGGUUGAGUGUGUUCAAUCUUCUUCUUCUCCCUUCACCUUUGUUUCUCACUGUUCGCCGCUGGUGACUGGAGGAAAACACCGAAAUCCCCCUCCUUUGACGGUGCUGUGGCGCGCGUUUUCAUUGGUCUUCUUCCUCCCCUGUUUUUUUUUUUUCUUUAUCGUGAACUCCUUUCCUCUCCUCCCUUUGUUCGGGCUGCUGUGAUAGGUUGAGCUCCAAGUUUUUCCUUGUCUCCUUCCAAUUCUGAUGCGUCAUCUCUCAUUUCUGUUGUGUUUUAGCAUGGAUUCAGACAUUCCUCUCCUUUUUGCUACUUUGUCCUGUUGUUUCUAUUGAGAUGAGAUGAGGAACCAUGAUUUUCUAUUUUCGUAAAAAUCUGUGCAUCUCUAGAAAUAGGUCCAGAUCGAUGACGAGCCACCCGGGCAAGGAAAAAGGAAGAAAAAAUAAAGAAUCGUUCUCUAUGAGGGUCCUCCGCGAUGCACAGAGACAAAUUUGAAUAAUGAGCUCCUUUGUGCCAUGUGCCACAGCGGAGGGUAGGCGCACAAGCUAAAAAUUAGAUAUAUCUGAUUCGUUUUGCAUGCGAAAAUAAAAGAGGAGGAGGAGAGGAAAAUAAAGAGCUUGACUUAGUCUCUACGAGGGCACGACAUUGGCUUCUAUUGUAGACAUUUUGAAGCUUUCAAACACCCAAGGAUGCGUGCUAUGUUGGUGUUUUCUAUAUCAUGGAUGAUCUAGGUCACCGAAAGUUACCCCUAGAUAGGUCGUUGGAUGAGUCUCCCCCUGAUUCAAAGAAGAAAAUGAUUAUUGACAAUGCUGAAAAUUUGAUCACAGAUGCCAUCACGGAUGAUAAAAUGGCAGGAUCUAGUGAAGUGAGUGAGGCAUCGCCCUCAGGUGAUCAGGAAGAUGAAAAUAGAGGAAAGUUUAAAUGCAAGAAAGAACAGCAACAAGUCUCCUAUAAAGGCUCUAUUAUGGCCUAUAAUGAAGUGGCUAAUGGAGAGGAAAUUGUGGAAAACGAAGAUUUGCUGCUGGAUGAUGAUGAAAUCACAUGGACAUUACCAUAACCUUCUGAAAAGGUUGAACAGUUGAAGCACUUGUAUCCUAAAGUUCCUAUCUCCCAAGAAGAGUUCAAUGAAUGGUGCAGGCCUUGGAAUAAGGCUCUGAUCCUCACU